RNAcentral lists this long non-coding RNA (2230 nucleotides) under Phaseolus vulgaris (common bean). RNAcentral's name for it is "long non-coding RNA (PVUL_LNC002934)". The record is from RNAcentral. Lineage: Eukaryota; Viridiplantae; Streptophyta; Magnoliopsida; Fabales; Fabaceae.
UUUUUUAACAAAAAUAAUUUCCUUGAGUUUAAUAACGAUCUCCUAGUAAAAAAUAACAAUAAAUAACAAGUUUGAGAAAAGAAAAAUAUAAAAGAAAAAUAAAUGUAAAACAGUAGAGAAAUGUUUAUAUGGUAGGAAGAUGAAAUGCAUGCAUGGUUCACAUGAUAACGCAAGAAUUUGUAUUCUCGUCGUUGAACAUGGCAUAAUUGGGGUUUUCCCCGAAGAGCCUGGGAGAGUCAUUUCCGAAUUGAAUUUGGAAUGUAUCGACGUGAGGACUCUCUUGUCCCGUCUCGGCCUGCACAGUGCCACUCUCUUCUUCCCUCUCAGCCUCCGCUGAUCUCUUCGCCUCUUUCCCGCAUGCACACCCCAUCUUCUUCUUCUUCUUCUUCUUUUCUGAUAUAUCUUUCUUCAGUUUCAUGACAGAAAAUGAGUUAACCGAGUGUUCACUGUUUUUCUUAACUUUAACUGUUGCUUUGUGAAAUAAAAUACUCUUUGCAGUUAUCAUAAUAAUUCCAUUUGAGUUUAACAAUUUUUUUUUUAGUUUUUCUUGAUUUCUAAUUGUUGGUCUUCUGAAGUGAAUUUCAUCAACUACUAGAAAAUCAUUAAAUAAAAACUAAUUUUAGAGACAAAAUAAUUAGUUGCUAUUAUGACUACAUUAAAUACUAUAUUAGAGACUUAAAAAAUUAUUGAUAUCUAAAUUAUUUUCUAUUAUUGAUAAAUAGUUUCUAAAUUGGUAUCUAAUUAGCUAGUUACCUAAGUUUUAACUAUCAAUUAUUUAGAUUUUAAAGUUGAUAUGUCUUUUUUUUCAUUCCUCUCUCCUUAUUUGAUCUUAGGGUCGGGAAAAUAAAUUUCUAAGGUUUCUUUUGGGAAGAGCUAGGAUUUAGAGAUGAGAACCUAAGAUUUUUGCUUUAAUUUUUUUAUGUUAGGACGAGAAAACUAGGUUAUCUUAAGGGUUUUCUUAUCUACUCUAGGAUUUGUCUACCCAAUAACCCAAACAAAUAUUCAUCAAGUGUAUAUAGCAAAAGGGUUCACAUUCAAUUUUAAUUUAGAAAGAGUGAUAAAUCCAAAAUAAAAUAAAAAUAUACAAAGGUGAUCGUCUCAUAGAACAAAAUUGUCUAAUCCUUAGAAAAGAUUUUAGAAAGUAAUGUAUGGCCAACCUAGUUAUCAUGCAAACACACAAAUAAGUAAUUAGUAUAACCUAGGAUAAUCUAAUUUUUUUUUUAGAACAUACUAAUUUGAAAACUUAUGUUAUGGAUUGUAACUGGUCGUUUGCAUGACAAGGCUUCAUUAAGAGAAAAUGAGCAAUUGGUCUUGAACUAGCUUCAACAUUCUAUCCAAUCCUUGUUAAAAUGCUUCUUGAUCAUCUUCUUCUUUGUUUUCCUUAUUUUGAGGGCUUGCAUAUUUUUUAUUUUGUUAGGUGUAAACCUCCAUUUUAUUUUUCCUUGAACUAAUAUAUUCUUUCCAGAUUUUGAUAUACCUGUAAUAGAAAAAUUUGUCUUUAGUAACCUUCUAUAACACCUGCUAUGUUCACAUCGUGAUCUUUUAGUGAUGCAAAACAUCACCGUCAUAGUUUUAAAGACUUUCAGACACCGUAGUAUGAACCAACAACAGAUGCAGGAAGACAUUAAUUUUCAUCACAUUUUGGCCAAGUUAUGGCAAACAUGUUGAUACGUAUAGAACAACACAUGUGCCAGCAUAUGGUUUCAUGCCAUCCAGUUACCCUUAGCAAUUCCAUAUUGAACAAGGAUCACCCUCAAUUGCACUUUUUGAUGUACACUCGUACAAGCCAUUUCAAUCCACAAUCCCUCUUCAAUCUCUACAAUCAGAACAACCUCCACCAUCAGAAGAAGAACCACAAUGACAACGAAGAAAUCCAAUAUGGAAAAGACGUCGACCUCGUUGUGGGACCAAACACUACUACAAAGAUUCAACAUCUCCUUAAUGAAGUGCAUUAUCAAGUUUAUAAUGUUUAUUAAUAAUGUAAUUUCAUCACAAGUAUUUAUAAUAUUAUGCUUCAUUCAAAAAUAACUUCAUUUGUUCUUGUUUAAAGUUAAUUAUUAAAAAUUUAUUUUGGAACCACUUAAAAUGGUAAUGGGUUUAAGAAACACAAUUCUACAUGCUAAACAUGGCAUUCAAAGUAAUCUUAAUAUAGUCCAAAGCAAAUUAAUUAAGUUACACGUUCAACUAAUGGGUCAAAGUGUAUAAAUCAUGAAUAAGGCCUUGAACUAUG